GUACUUGCUUUGGCAGAAUAUAUACUAAAAUUGGAACAAUACAGAGCAGAUUAGCAUGGCCACUGCACAAGGAUGACACGCAAAUUUAUGAAGCCUGAAAACCUAUA
Small nuclear RNA from Hyla sarda, 107 nucleotides. The record is from RefSeq and is a predicted model, not a curated record. NCBI's taxonomy places the organism in Eukaryota, Metazoa, Chordata, Amphibia, Anura, Hylidae.